UAGGGAAUCUUCCGCAAUGGACGCAAGUCUGACGGAGCAACGCCGCGUGAGUGAAGAAGGAUUUCGGUUCGUAAAACUCUGUUGUUAGAGAAGAACAGCGCAUAGAGUAACUGUUAUGCGUGUGGCGGUAUCUAACCAGAAAGCCACGGCUAACUACGUGCCAGCAGCCGCGGUAAUACGUAGGUGGCAAGCGUUGUCCGGAUUUAUUGGGCGUAAAGCGAGCGCAGGCGGUCAAUUAAGUCUGAUGUGAAAGCCCCCGGCUCAACCGGGGAGGGUCAUUGGAAACUGGUUGACUUGAGUGCAGAAGAGGAGAGUGGAAUUCCAUGUGUAGCGGUGAAAUGCGUAGAUAUAUGGAGGAACACCAGUGGCGAAGGCGACUCUCUGGUCUGUAACUGACGCUGAGGCUCGAAAGCGUGGGUAGCAAACAGG
RNAcentral lists this ribosomal RNA (429 nucleotides) under Bacteroidota bacterium. Its description in RNAcentral is "Bacteroidetes bacterium partial 16S ribosomal RNA". It matches the Rfam family "Bacterial small subunit ribosomal RNA", at positions 355 to 776 of the family's 1533-position model. Lineage: Bacteria; Pseudomonadati; Bacteroidota. The record is from RNAcentral.